Molecule: RNA transcript, 2657 nt
Organism: Cajanus cajan (pigeon pea)
Lineage: Eukaryota; Viridiplantae; Streptophyta; Magnoliopsida; Fabales; Fabaceae
Gene name: DNA double-strand break repair protein
Source: RefSeq, a predicted model, not a curated record
UUUUGUUGUGGGCUUUUGCUUUUCCUUAUUUUCCCAACAAAUAAAAUUUGGGUCCUGGGUAUCAGGACUCCAGGGUUAGGGUUCGGAAAGUUAAAAUUAAGCACCAAUAAUAAAUAGGGUUUGGUUGAACUCUUUCAACUCCUUCAUCAAUCAAGAAUUUAAUAUGAAGUUUCAAAGAACAGACGCUCGAUCAAUUUUCUCGCAAUUUAAGCGCAGAGAGAAACAGAUUAAGCUUAAGAGGAGGUGGUUACUGGGCAUUCCUCCCACAAGAUCUGAGAGGAAGAAGUUGAAAAAAUAUUUCAAAAAUAGGUAUUUGUCCGAGUCUUUACUUAGGGAAGAUGAUAUAUUUCACGAGUCAGUAAGAACUCGUGUUGAAGACGCCUUUGGAGCGCAGCGCAUUGAACAAGAGAAUCAUGCCCCUCAAGAUGAUAUGGAUUUGAUUCAAAUGCCGAACAUGAAAUGGUUGAUAUCAUCGUGCCUUGAUAAUUUGACUAUCAAGGGCCUCUACCUUCUUGCUAUGAUAGUUACUGGGGACUCAUUCAAGUAUGAAAUAACACGUUGCAAAUUGAAAAAAGUUAUCAAGGGUUCUGUUUCAAGUGUUCUGUGUAGCAAAAGUUGUGAUCAUCUUGAGACUCGUAAACGGAUUUUUUCGCUUCUAACCAAUCCACAGAAUUUCCGAGACAGGACUGAGCCUUUGCCUGCUUUUAGAUCCCAAUCUUGUCAUGCUGCUGUAGUACAGAUAUUGCAUGGACUUCAAAACUUGUCUUCUCAGACCUUGAUUUCAAUGCGUAGGAAACUUAAAGGGGUGAAAGCACCAGUACCUCAGUUACAACCCCGCAAGCAUGGAUGGGCAAGAGACCAUCUAAUUAAGCUAGUGAAGAAAAUUAGUAGGGAAAUGCUUUCUCAACUUGAUAGAGAAAGUGAGCUGCAAGAGCCAUUAGCUAAAGCCAUGGCUGUAGCAGAUUUAUCACUAAAAUUGACAACUGGUUGUCAUAACAUAUUUGCGAAAGAAUUUUACCAGUUCUCCCCGGAGGUGAAGUCCUUGCAAAGUGAUAUUAUGAAUGCUAUAUGGUCUGUGAAGAAAAAAGUGUCAGUGACACAGCUAAGAAACUUACAGCUUCUUGUAGAACCGAAGGCUACAAUAUCAAAUAGGUGCUUACGGUCAGCUUUUGUGAAUUUUUUGACUGAAUUUCUUCUAGAGUGCAAUGAUAUGGAUAGUAUUCCAGAAUUUCUAUCACAGACCCUAGAUGUUAUUAACAGAGGUUCUAAUAGCGGCAUUCACGAUGUAUUAUUCAAGAAGAAGUAUAUUGAGGAAGAAGUUGACUGCAUACUGGACAUGAGUGCUUCAACAAAACAAAUUGUUUUGGAUUUGUUGCCUGAUGAUGAAUUUGAUAAAGACUUCACUGAUGCCUACUUGGAGCAGCCAGAAGAAAGUGAUUACAGCGACAGUGAUGAGAAUGAUAGUCAACUUCAGGAUAUACAAUUCAGAAAUGGAACAUAUGGUUCAAUGGAUUCAUUUUAUGAAGCAGAAAGUAUUGGGGAUUUUGUGCCAUUGAAUAGUCUUUCUGAGCAGCUUCAUCCUAAUAACUGUGAUAAAGUAAGUUUGGAAGCCAAUGUUCACAACACUCUACAUGUUCAAUGCCAAGGAGAAAGCACAGAGCAUUUUAGUACAUUUAUGGCCUGUAAAAACAAAAGUUCUUCAGUUCUUUCACCUGAAAGAGAAUUGGACGAAAAUGUUGUAAAGACAAAUGAUUUUCCUAAAUCUAAUACUAAAAUAGAAGCAACAGACAUAGCUGAUUUGUUUUGUAAGGAGACAAAUCCCAUGCCCACCAAGUACAGUGCAUGCAAGAACCACUAUGUUUCUGCCCAAGAUGCUUGUGAUAAGACGAGUAUGCUUGCAUAUAAUCUCAUAGGACAUAUGUUGAAAGAGUUUGCCAUAAUUGAAGGUCAAGAUUUAAACUUGAGCAAGAGUUUAUACCUCAGUGGUAGUAAUCACAUUGAAGAUGUUGAAGAUGCAGAGGAGCAGUCACCAUCUGGGAAACAUGCAAGAGAUUUUGUUCAAGUAAUUGAAGAGCUGAUUCCUUCCUUUCCAGAUAGUAGCAUGGAAAGACUGAAGAUGUUGAUGGGCUUAUGAUAAUGAAAUUCGGGGUUUCAGCUUCAAACAGAAAAAUAUUCUGAAACGGGCUAUGCUGGUGCCCUGCAAGGAAUUUUAUAAGUCUCAAUUGAUUUUUUGCCAUGACAGAAAGAGCUUUCCCCCAAGGAAUUUUAUGGAGCCGUCAGUGCAUGAAGAGGGCUAUCAAUGAGAUAAAGCUUCCUCCAGUUAGAUGAUUUGAUAUAAUUGGCAUAAGUUGAGAAAAGAGAGGGUUGUCCAUUACAUGAAGCCACCCCCACGGGAGAGGUCACCCUUAGGAAGGGAGGACAAACAAGAAGAUGGAGCCGCCUUAUAUUUUAAUUAGCAUCAACUUCUACCAUUCAAUUGAAUCAAGGAAAAAAAAUAUUUAGUAAGGAAAAUACAAGGAAAUAAAUAAAAACAUCAAGAUACAAAUGAACAAGUAGGCAGAUACAAAUGAACAAGUAGGCAGGUUUAGCAUUUUAUUUUCUUCAAACUAAAUUCAACCUCCUAUGCUAUGUAAUUGAAAAAUAUACAAUUUAGAAAA